This is a non-coding RNA of Pelobates cultripes (western spadefoot toad), 219 nucleotides long. Lineage: Eukaryota; Metazoa; Chordata; Amphibia; Anura; Pelobatidae. The record is from the annotation of a GenBank genome assembly.
UUCCUUUCCAUCUGUUCACCCUCUAUUCACAGACUAUUAGAGAAGAGUUAGUCUGGUCAUGACUAUUUAAUUGGAUAUACACAGAUUGUGAUGUAUUCCAAUGAGGAGGAAGGGGAUAAUUAACUAACACAGAGUGUGAAUCUAACUAGAUAGAUAGUUUUUAUUUCUGAGAAUAGAACUGACACAAAGAACAUUGUUGACACUAGAGGUGUUCCUAGG